RNAcentral lists this ribosomal RNA (435 nucleotides) under uncultured bacterium. RNAcentral's name for it is "partial 16S ribosomal RNA". It matches the Rfam family "Bacterial small subunit ribosomal RNA", at positions 28 to 507 of the family's 1533-position model. The record is from RNAcentral.
GGUGAACGCUGGCGGUAUGCUUAACACAUGCAAGUCGAACGGACUCUUCGGAGUUAGUGGCGGACGGGUGAGUAACGCGUGAGAAUCUGGCUUUGGGUUCGGGACAACCACUGGAAACGGUGGCUAAUACCGGAUGUGCCGAGAGGUAAAAGAGAAAUUGCCUGAAGAUGAGCUCGCGUCUGAUUAGCUAGUUGGUGAGGUAAAGGCUCACCAAGGCAGCGAUCAGUAGCUGGUCUGAGAGGAUGACCAGCCACACUGGGACUGAGACACGGCCCAGACUCCUACGGGAGGCAGCAGUGGGGAAUUUUCCGCAAUGGGCGAAAGCCUGACGGAGCAAUACCGCGUGAGGGAAGAAGGCUCUUGGGUUGUAAACCUCUUUUCUUAGGGAAGAACAAAAUGACGGUACCUAAGGAAUCAGCAUCGGCUAACUCCGUG